UUCGGGAGCCCGAAGACAGGUGGCUGCAUGGCUGUCGUCAGCUCGUGUCGUGAGAUGUUGGGUUAAGUCCCGCAACGAGCGCAACCCUUGUCCUUAGUUGCCAGCAUUCAGUUGGGCACUCUAAGGAGACUGCCGGUGUCAAACCGGAGGAAGUGGGGAUGACGUCAAGUCCUCAUGGCCCUUAUGUCCAGGGCUACACACGUGCUACAAUGGCCGGUACAAAGGGGCGCAAGACCGCGAGGUGGAGCAAAUCCCAAAAAACCGGUCUCAGUUCGGAUUGGAGUCUGCAACUCGACUCCAUGAAGUUGGAAUCGCUAGUAAUCGCGUAUCAGCAUGACGCGGUGAAUACGUUCCCGGGCCUU
RNAcentral lists this ribosomal RNA (362 nucleotides) under uncultured Desulfuromonas sp. RNAcentral describes it as "bacterial SSU rRNA". It matches the Rfam family "Bacterial small subunit ribosomal RNA", at positions 1019 to 1382 of the family's 1533-position model. Lineage: Bacteria; Pseudomonadati; Thermodesulfobacteriota; Desulfuromonadia; Desulfuromonadales; Desulfuromonadaceae. The record is from RNAcentral.